GAUCCUGGCUCAGAUUGAACGCUGGCGGCAGGCUUAACACAUGCAAGUCGAGCGGGGAAGGUUGCUUCGGUAACUGACCUAGCGGCGGACGGGUGAGUAAUGCUUAGGAAUCUGCCUAUUAGUGGGGGACAACGUUCCGAAAGGAAUGCUAAUACCGCAUACGUCCUACGGGAGAAAGCAGGGGAUCUUCGGACCUUGCGCUAAUAGAUGAGCCUAAGUCGGAUUAGCUAGUUGGUGGGGUAAAGGCCUACCAAGGCG
RNAcentral lists this ribosomal RNA (258 nucleotides) under uncultured bacterium. Its description in RNAcentral is "partial 16S ribosomal RNA". It matches the Rfam family "Bacterial small subunit ribosomal RNA", at positions 15 to 275 of the family's 1533-position model. The record is from RNAcentral.